GACGAACGCUGGCGGCGUGCCUAAUACAUGCAAGUCGAGCGCAGGAAACUGACGGAACUCUUCGGAGGGAAGGCAGUGGAAUGAGCGGCGGACGGGUGAGUAACACGUAAGGAACCUGCCUCAAGGAUUGGGAUAACUCCGAGAAAUCGGAGCUAAUACCGGAUAGUUCAACGGACCGCAUGGUCCGCUGAUGAAAGGCGCUCCGGCGUCACCUUGAGAUGGCCUUGCGGUGCAUUAGCUAGUUGGUGGGGUAACGGCCCACCAAGGCGACGAUGCAGAGCUGACCUGAGAGGGUGAUCGGCCACACUGGGACUGAGACACGGCCCAGACUCCUACGGGAGGCAGCAGUAGGGAAUCUUCCACAAUGGACGAAAGUCUGAUGGAGCAACGCCGCGUGAGUGAUGAAGGUUUUCGGAUCGUAAAACUCUGUUGUAAGGGAAGAACACGUACGAGAGGAAAUGCUCGUACCUUGACGGUACCUUACGAGAAAGCCACGGCUAACUACGUGCCAGCCGCCGCGGUAA
RNAcentral lists this ribosomal RNA (524 nucleotides) under uncultured bacterium. RNAcentral's name for it is "partial 16S ribosomal RNA". It matches the Rfam family "Bacterial small subunit ribosomal RNA", at positions 28 to 523 of the family's 1533-position model. The record is from RNAcentral.